Non-coding RNA from Cinara cedri, 234 nucleotides. The record is from the annotation of a GenBank genome assembly. Lineage: Eukaryota; Metazoa; Arthropoda; Insecta; Hemiptera; Aphididae.
CUCUAAGUACCCUUAAUAAUAUUAUCUAACAGGUAAUAAUAAUUGUUGAUGUGUUUACGUCGUCGGUCGAAAUAGCUGUAUUUAUAACAACUGUAGUGUAAGGCUACAAAGUUAAAUUUGUCGAAAAACAAACGUACUCACCUAUAAGUAUUAGUAGGUAGGUUAUAAUGUCGUGUGAUCACGCAUGAGUGCAUGACUCAUUUCAAAUACCCAACUAACUAAACAAAACGGAAC